RNAcentral lists this ribosomal RNA (165 nucleotides) under Zeugites sagittatus. RNAcentral describes it as "5.8S ribosomal RNA". It matches the Rfam family "5.8S ribosomal RNA". From Rfam's summary of the family: 5.8S ribosomal RNA (5.8S rRNA) is a component of the large subunit of the eukaryotic ribosome. It is transcribed by RNA polymerase I as part of the 45S precursor that also contains 18S and 28S rRNA. Lineage: Eukaryota; Viridiplantae; Streptophyta; Magnoliopsida; Poales; Poaceae. The record is from RNAcentral.
GAAACGACUCUCGGCAACGGAUAUCUCGGCUCUCGCAUCGAUGAAGAACGUAGCAAAAUGCGAUACCUGGUGUGAAUUGCAGAAUCCCGCGAACCAUCGAGUUUUUGAACGCAAGUUGCGCCCGAGGCCUCCUGGCCGAGGGCACGUCUGCCUGGGCGUCACGCC